Molecule: long non-coding RNA, 309 nt
Organism: Trichomycterus rosablanca
Lineage: Eukaryota; Metazoa; Chordata; Actinopteri; Siluriformes; Trichomycteridae
Exons: 2
Source: RefSeq, a predicted model, not a curated record
AAAAAAAAAAAAGAUAUGUGCAUUAGUGCAGAUGAAGGUGGACAAACAUAUUUUUCCCAUGGAGGAGGUCCAAAAAGUGUACUUCACCAGCAAAUUCAAUGAUGUGGACAAGCUAGGAAAACAAGGGGUGUAAUUCAUUUCACAAUUCUCGCCCCACACACACACACACAAAGACAUAGGGCACAUCCAAGCACCCAAUACUGCCAUAAUUAAAUGCAUAGUGAAUGAUUAUGAAUUAGAUUUUUAAUUAUGUAUGUAUAGAGUUUAUAUAUAGAGAUUUAUACCACAAUACAUUAUUCAGUUAUAUAA